UGGGGAAUAUUGGACAAUGGGCGAAAGCCUGAUCCAGCCAUGCUGCGUGUGUGAAGAAGGUCUUCGGAUUGUAAAGCACUUUAAGUUGGGAGGAAGGGCAGUAAGCGAAUACCUUGCUGUUUUGACGUUACCGACAGAAUAAGCACCGGCUAACUGUGUGCCAGCAGCCGCGGUAAUAUAGAGGGUGCAAGCGUUAAUCGGAAUUACUGGGCGUAAAGCGCGCGUAGGUGGUUCGUUAAGUUGAAUGUGAAAGCACCGGGCUCAACCUGGGAACUGCAUCCAAAACUGGCGAGCUAGAGUAGGGCAGAGGGUGGUGGAAUUUCCUGUGUAGCGGUGAAAUGCGUAGAUAUAGGAAGGAACACCAGUGGCGAAGGCGACCACCUGGGGUCAUACUGACACUGAGGUGCGAAAGCGUGGGGGGCAAAAAAG
Molecule: ribosomal RNA, 429 nt
Filed under: Pseudomonadota bacterium
Lineage: Bacteria; Pseudomonadati; Pseudomonadota
Description: Proteobacteria bacterium partial 16S ribosomal RNA
Rfam family: Bacterial small subunit ribosomal RNA
Source: RNAcentral